UGUGUGUGUGUGUGCAGACCCCUGGCACUUGGCCCAUCUUAGAUGGAAAUACUAAAACUGGUGAAAACCAACGAGUGUGCCAUGAAGAAAGAAAACCUCCCAUGUUUGAGAAGAGAAGGUGAUGCUCAAGACUUAGCUCUGUAACUAGAGGCUGCGUGAUGAUGACAGAAAGUACCUCAGGGAACAAAAAGACCGACCUCCCAAGUGCCAUUGCUUGAGCUGUGAGAGAAAGGAGACAUUUUACAAGCCAGAAGUGAAGGGAGAAGGAACACUUUAAAAGACUAAGCCAGAAUUUAACUAUCAUAGAAGACUGAGAUCAGAGAGGAACAGCAGCAGCAGCAGCAGCAGCAACAGCAACAGCAACAUCAGCAACAGCAACAGCAACAGCAACAACAGCAACAGCAACAGCAACAGCACAACAGCAACAACAGCAGCAACAGCAGCAGCAACAUCAGCAACAGCAACAGCAACAUCAGCAACAGCAACAGCAACAUCAGCAACAGCAACAGCAACAUCAGCAACAGCAACAGCAACAUCAGCAACAGCAACAGCAACAUCAGCAACAGCAACAGCAACAGCAACAACAGCAACAGCAACAGCAACAGCACAACAGCAACAACAGCAGCAACAGCAGCAGCAACAUCAGCAACAGCAACAGCAACAACAGCAACAGCA
This 675-nucleotide long non-coding RNA is filed under the name Mus musculus (house mouse). RNAcentral's name for it is "predicted gene, 47966". The record is from RNAcentral. Lineage: Eukaryota; Metazoa; Chordata; Mammalia; Rodentia; Muridae.